This 318-nucleotide ribosomal RNA is filed under the name uncultured bacterium. Its description in RNAcentral is "bacterial SSU rRNA". It matches the Rfam family "Bacterial small subunit ribosomal RNA", at positions 43 to 333 of the family's 1533-position model. The record is from RNAcentral.
GAUGAACGCUACGCCUACGAGGCUAACACAUGCAAGUCGAGGGCAGCGAUUUAGGUUGCGUUGCGAAACUAAAGAUGGCGACCGGCGCACGGGUGAGUAACACGUAUCCAACCUGCCGAUAACUCGGGGAUAGCCUUUCGAAAGAAAGAUUAAUAUCCGAUAGUAUAUUAAAACCGCAUGGUUUUACUAUUAAAGAAUUUCGGUUAUCGAUGGGGAUGCGUUCCAUUAGUUUGUUGGCGGGGUAACGGCCCACCAAGACUACGAUGGAUAGGGGUUCUGAGAGGAAGGUCCCCCACAUUGGAACUGAGACACGGUCAA